UAGGACAAGAAGGAGAAAGAGCUGCAGGUGAAGACCGCAGAAGCGGCGCAGAUGGCGAGGCUCAUCCAGGAAGAAAAGGAGGCGAGCGAAAAGCGAGAAUCCGGCAGGAAAGACGUGGAGGUCAGGUUGCAGCGUCUGCAGAAUGAAGUGGAAGACAUGACGAAGGAAAAGGGUGGAAUCCAGCGUGAAGAUAAGGUUGCGUAGCUGAAGAUGAACGAGCUGACAUGCCUUUUUUGAAGAAGGAAAUGGUAGGCAAUCAAUCCGGUGGAGAGGAAGACUGGUGUCCAGGCCGAACUGAAGGAGGCAGCGGGGAGAUGAGGCCCGACAGACGAGAUUGAGCGAAGGAGAAAUUGAUUUGCAAGCGGAAGAACCUGAAGGGGAAUUACAGAUGCCUGACGAAGGACAAUUGGAAAGUGCCGGAGCAGGUGCCCAGCUUCAAGGAAUAGCAGGAUCCAGUCUAAGGUGGACUCACGAAGACGGAUCAUAUUUUGAAAAUGAGAGAAUGUUUGUUGUAUGGAAAUUUGUUUUGAAUUGAAAUAAAUAAAGGUUAUUUACAAA
Macrobrachium nipponense is the source of this 558-nucleotide long non-coding RNA. RefSeq lists it as uncharacterized. The transcript has 2 exons. The record is from RefSeq and is a predicted model, not a curated record. Lineage: Eukaryota; Metazoa; Arthropoda; Malacostraca; Decapoda; Palaemonidae.